This 73-nucleotide transfer RNA is filed under the name Nocardioides pocheonensis. RNAcentral's name for it is "Marmoricola sp. Gsoil 818 tRNA". It matches the Rfam family "tRNA". Rfam says of the family: Transfer RNA (tRNA) molecules are approximately 80 nucleotides in length. Their secondary structure includes four short double-helical elements and three loops (D, anti-codon, and T loops). Further hydrogen bonds mediate the characteristic L-shaped molecular structure. tRNAs have two regions of fundamental functional importance: the anti-codon, which is responsible for specific mRNA codon recognition, and the 3' end, to which the tRNAs corresponding amino acid is attached (by aminoacyl-tRNA synthetases). tRNAs cope with the degeneracy of the genetic code in two manners: having more than one tRNA (with a specific anti-codon) for a particular amino acid; and 'wobble' base-pairing, i.e. permitting non-standard base-pairing at the 3rd anti-codon position. Lineage: Bacteria; Bacillati; Actinomycetota; Actinomycetes; Propionibacteriales; Nocardioidaceae. The record is from Rfam by way of RNAcentral. RNAcentral also lists the same sequence under 1 other name.
GCGCCCGUAGCCCAACGGCAGAGGCAACGGCUUUAGGUGCCGUCCAGUGUGAGUUCGAAUCUCACCGGGCGCA